UCACUGACUUCAGAGCUGAACACAGUGGGAAUUAUUACUGUGAAGCCCAGAACAGCAGAGGACGCCAUAACUCCACUUUACAUCUGACUGUUGCAGCAGUUUUUCCAAAAGCAUGGAAAAUAGCCAUCAUUGGAACUACCACUGCUGUUUUCCUGGUCAUUAUAUGGCUUUCUGUCUUCCUACUGAUAAGGAGAAAAAAGAGGGCCUCUAAGCAAUCAUCUGAGCCUGGAGAGAGACCAGACAACAGAGAAAAUUCAAAGGAGCAGGUUGAAGUCCACUAUGCGAGUGUCCGAUUCUCUAAGAACCAGACAGACCAUGUCUACUCCAACAUCAGACCAGCUGGACCCUGCACACAUGAAGAAGAAGAAGAAGUGGAGUAUGCUGCAGUCAAACUCAACAGUGCCAGUAGUCCUCCAAGAACCAGAGGUCAGAGAACAGUGGAGGAUCAAGCUGUAUUGUACAGUACAGUCAACAAAACUGCUUGGCACAACAGGAAGCUCUAGUCUAAGGAACAUGUUUGUAUUUUUGUGACAUGUCUCAACAAAUAUUAGAUGGAUUUUUAACAAAAUUUGGGAGAAAUAUCCAUGGUUCUCCAAGGAUAAAUCCUACUGAUCAGUGGGAUUUCAUGACUUUUCAUCUGAAAUUUCUCAACUGCUGUAGGAUGGAUUGCCAUGACAUUUGUCACAUUUAAUUAAUUUGGUUAUCCCUUAAAUACUUUGUUGGU
Centropristis striata (black sea bass) is the source of this 724-nucleotide long non-coding RNA. RefSeq lists it as uncharacterized. NCBI's taxonomy places the organism in Eukaryota, Metazoa, Chordata, Actinopteri, Perciformes, Serranidae. The transcript is spliced from 5 exons. The record is from RefSeq and is a predicted model, not a curated record.